This 497-nucleotide ribosomal RNA is filed under the name uncultured bacterium. RNAcentral's name for it is "partial 16S ribosomal RNA". It matches the Rfam family "Bacterial small subunit ribosomal RNA", at positions 28 to 507 of the family's 1533-position model. The record is from RNAcentral.
GAUGAACGCUGGCGGCGUGCCUAAUACAUGCAAGUCGAGCGAACAGAUGAGGAGCUUGCUCCUCUGACGUUAGCGGCGGACGGGUGAGUAACACGUGGAUAACCUACCUAUAAGACUGGGAUAACUUCGGGAAACCGGAGCUAAUACCGGAUAAUAUAUUGAACCGCAUGGUUCAAUAGUGAAAGACGGUUUUGCUGUCACUUAUAGAUGGAUCCGCGCCGCAUUAGCUAGUUGGUAAGGUAACGGCUUACCAAGGCAACGAUGCGUAGCCGACCUGAGAGGGUGGUCGGCCACCCUGGAACUGAGACACGGUCCAGACUCCUACGGGAGGCCGCAGUUGGGAAUCUUCCGCAAUGGGCGAAAGCCUGACGGAGCACCGCCGCGUGAGUGAUGAAGGUCUUCGGAUCGUAAAGCUCUGUUAUUAGGGAAGAACAAAUGUGUAAGUAACUGUGCACGUCUUGACGGUACCUAAUCAAAAAGCCCCGGCUAACUACGUG